UUAAAGGAACAUCGUGCAUGUCGGAUUUAACCUUUGUGGACAAAAGCUAUUGUUUCUGAGCCUGUGGAGGAUUUAUUUUUCUUUCAUAUAAACUUUUUUUUUCAUUUUCUCUUCUUCUAUGUGAAUCAGCUGACAGCAUGGGAAUACUGCUAUUAUUUGCUGUCUUGCAAGUGGUGACAGUCGGCAUGGUGACUGCUGGCUGUCCAGUGGUGUGUGAGUGUCCGGCAGGGCCUCCAUCCUGUCCCCCAGGGGUCAGCUCGGUCCCGGACGGCUGCGGCUGCUGCAAGGUGUGUGCCGCGCAGCUCAACCAGGAUUGCCACGAAGGACGGCCCUGUGACCACCACAAAGGCCUGGAGUGCAACUACGGCAAUGAUGUGGGCCGUACCCAUGGCAUCUGCAGGGCAAAGGCAGAGGGCCGCUCGUGCGAGUACAACGGGCGGAUUUAUCAAAAUGGCGAGAAUUUCCGCGCUGGUUGCAAGCACCAGUGCACCUGCAUCGAUGGAGCGGUGGGCUGCGUGCCUCUUUGCCCCAGCCACUUGCCCCUGGCGUCCCCUUCCUGUCCCGCUCCGCAGCUGGUCAAGGUGCCAGGCCAGUGCUGCCUCACCAUCGACUGCCACAAGGGAUCGACCGUCGUGCCCCCAGUACACCGCCGACCCCAACCUCCAAUUUACUCGCCUUACCCCUUCAUCCCCUACCCGGCCUACCCCUUCCCAAAGCCUUAUCCGAAACCUUUCCAGAAGUUGUUCCCCUACAAACCCAAAAAGGAGAAGGACACCCUAGGCAAUGAGCUUGUGGAAGUGGGGCGCAAGUGGGACAAGCAACGUGGAAACAAGCACCUGGCGGCCUGGAGGCAGGUGGGAGAUCAGUGUGUGGUUCAGACUACUUCCUGGUCCCAGUGUUCCCGGAGCUGUGGGAUGGGCGUCUCCUCUCGUGUUACCAAUGACAAUGCCCGGUGUAAGCUGAUCAAGGAGACGCGUCUGUGCAACAUUCGGCCCUGCAGCACCAUGUCUAUCCCUGCCAAGAUGAGGAAUAAAGGAAGGAAGUGCUCUCGUACCCAUAAGGCCCCUGAACCACACCGCCUGUCCUACGCGGGCUGCAGGAGCACUCGCCUGUAUAGGCCCAACUACUGUGGCGUGUGUAGGGACGGCCGUUGCUGUUCGCCCCGCCGCACACGUACCGCAAGCGUGAACUUCGCCUGCCCUGAUGGCGAACGCUUCAACCGGUCCAUGAUGUUCAUCCAGUCCUGCAAGUGCAGCGACGAGUGCAACCAUCUCAACGAGGCAGCCAUGCCUCCUCAGCGAUGGCUCUACGGAGACACACACAAGUUCAUCGACUAGUAGUAUCAUCCCCCCAAACUACAUUCCCUCACAAAAAACAGACAUUAACUCCCCCAUAGUGACCCCCAUUAUAGUAUAGCUGUCCUUAGUGUAUCUAUGAGUAGACGCAAGCGAGGUGAACACGUUAAAACGUCUUUUCUGAAAGAUUAUUUGGGGAGGAAUGGGAAGAAGAAUCAGACGGGCGCAUCUCCACCUUGGAAAGAGCAAAGUGACCAGCCCCUGCUUUAGUGUAGAUAAAACGUUGUUUCUGGCCCGGCCAGACUUCUAAAGACUGUGACAAAACCUUUAUGGAAAACAUGGACGCAACCAGCCACCAUGUUGCUGCCAUGCACCAAAUGUCCCCUGAACUCUUGAGACAUUUGUUGGGGACGCUGGAGCAAGACACACAAACAUAACUGUUUAUUUUGUUUAUGGUGUGGAUUCACAUCAGUUACUGAGCAACAGGUCUGACUAGCUGAUAGAAAACCGGUUUGACGUUGGAGCCAAAUAUGAAACCUACUGGAAUCACAUGUCUGUGCACUCCAAUAACUUAGUAUUGAUAAACCAAAUGAAGACUUGUGGAGAAGACUUGACAGCAAAAUAACGGGGAUUGUGACGGCAGAAGAUGGAGGAGCAUCUCAGAUGUUCUUACAGGAGUGUGGCUUGUGUCUUUUUAUGGUAUUUAUUCACUGGUAUUUAUUGUUGAGACAGACAUGAUGACACAGUGGCCUGCCACCAGGGAAGGCGGGGCUGCUAUGUUUGGAGCAUCAGCGUGGCUGAAUGGGGAUCUGAGAGGGACUAAACAGCUGAGAGCUGUCAGCCAUGAGAGGGAGAGGACUCCCACAGAUCCGGGGCUUGACCCCCAGGGUCGCAUUGGUCAGAAAGCCAUAUCUAAUGAUGGAUGAUGAAGGCUACAGGAGAAGAGGUGGUAUGUACUAGAAAAAGACAGAGUUGAACCUGAUGGGUCGAGGCUUUGUACGCAUUAUCGGGGAAUAUGUCAAAGGUUGUCUACACAGCUGGACUCAUCCGCUGCCUUGCCUCCACAAGAAACCGAGACAUUUAGCAAGCACCAGAAGAACAAGCCUGGGAUUCUGGCGCCGAGACGGCAACCGCCUAAUUCUGUGCAAAUUACAAUCCUGACUCUGAGGGGCAGCGAGAGAAAAUCAGCAACUCUCUGGUUUGCUAUAAAAAUAAAAUUUGAAAAACUGCGUCUACUGAGGUAAACAUGUAAUUUGUGACUCGCGGGUGGAACCGCUCUGGUGCCCAAGUCUGGCCUGUAAUCGAGCAGCAUGUCAGCUCACUGAAACAAAACAAUAACUCAUGCCUCUUCAUGUUUAAGUAUCUGUUUCUGAGAAAUGCUGUUGAAGGCUGUGUUAUUGGUCAGCAGAGAAGAGCUUCACAGCCCUGCAGAGGACGGGGCCAGAGGUCAAUAACAACCUAUUCCUAAGGACAUUUUGGAGAUGGGGAGUUAUGUAUUAUUCUAUCAUUUUUUGUGGCCAAAAUCCUUUACUAUGACUGAAGAGCCUAAGCAACUUACUUAAGUGGAACUUGGGCUCAAGUUCACGCACCUUACAACAGCUUUGAUCCAAGACCUUUUAAUCUCAUGCAAAGGUCAUACAGAGGGACUGACUUAUCUUCACCGGAUGAUCACCGUUUUCAUUAUCUCAAAGAUGUGUUUUCUCUCGUGCCAUAGACAUUUUUUCAGUUUUCUGCAAAACUGGAAAAUAUUUGCAUUUUCUACCCUCUCUUGGCUACAGCAGGCUUUCUCAGUAGAGACUCUGCUGCCUCGAAUCCUGACAACCUUGUUGGGGGGGGGGGGGGGGUUAAACUUUACAGGUGAUACAAAUAAAUUGUGUUUGGUAAAUGUUUGCCAUGUUGCCAUUGCUAUUUCCCUAUGUAGAUGCUGUGGUUUUGGUACUGUAUGUCUAGUUUUGUUAAAGGACACUAUAGAGCAGCUAUGUACAGAUGCAUUGUUACCUUCUUUGUAGUUCUAUCUGCUGUAUAAGGGCCAAUCCUUUUACGGAGUUAUACUGAAGUAGUCCAUGUAGAGUUUAGCACUGAACAAAGCAGGGUUCAGAUCCUUUAUGAGCAUUAAGUGCCAAUUUAAAAGCAUGAUGAUUGUAUGUCUACUAGUGUACAAUAUUUAAUACCAUCUGCAAUAAUAAAGUCACGCUUUGUAAGAUUACAUAUUUAAAAAGAAAAAAAAGAAUUGUUCACAUGUUCCUCACUACUUAUUGGAAACUGGUUUCCUAACAUAUUGGAUGUUAGCGUUGGUAUGAGUUCAUCAUUUUGCAUUUUUAAUAAAGACAUUUUCACUCCUACACUUGGUAUUGAACCUUUACCAAAGUGAUAAUUGUUCAUUUCAUCUAGAUAAAUUAUAAAAUGUUUUAAUUCAUUCUUAAAGACAGUUCACAGCCUUGAUAACAGCUGGAAGGCUGUGCUUUGAUACAUGGCUUUGACCCAAAUGCUAAUAUUUUCAUGCUACUAUAAAAUGCUCACAAUUACAACGCUAAUACAUUACCAUGCUUACAUUUGCUAUUCAACACUUAAGUCCAGCACAAAUGACAUUUUGUGAUUAUACACAUUACGCAGAGAUGAUUUCAAUAUAGGGGGGUGCUAAUGACAUACUUGUAAUAAAAAUUGCCAAAAUUCACCACCAGGACUCCACUUGGAUUUUUCAUUUAUUGUUGUUAGGCAUUCAAUU
Cottoperca gobio is the source of this 4020-nucleotide RNA transcript. It is a transcript of the gene named protein CYR61, with no coding region annotated. The record is from RefSeq and is a predicted model, not a curated record. The transcript has 6 exons. Lineage: Eukaryota; Metazoa; Chordata; Actinopteri; Perciformes; Bovichtidae.